This 253-nucleotide ribosomal RNA is filed under the name uncultured bacterium. RNAcentral's name for it is "partial 16S ribosomal RNA". It matches the Rfam family "Bacterial small subunit ribosomal RNA", at positions 524 to 776 of the family's 1533-position model. The record is from RNAcentral.
UACGGAGGGUGCAAGCGUUAUCCGGAUUUACUGGGUUUAAAGGGUACGUAGGCGGACUGGUAAGUCAGUGGUGAAAGCCCACAGCUCAACUGUGGAACUGCCAUUGAAACUGCUAGUCUUGAGUUCGGUUGAUGAGGACGGAAUAUAGCAUGUAGCGGUGAAAUGCUUAGAUAUGCUAUAGAACACCAAUUGCGAAGGCAGUUCUCAAAGCCGACACUGACGCUGAGGUACGAAAGCGUGGGGAGCGAACAGG